ACUAAGUUGACCGCCUGGGGAGUACGGCCGCAAGGUUAAAACUCAAAUGAAUUGACGGGGGCCCGCACAAGCGGUGGAGCAUGUGGUUUAAUUCGAUGCAACGCGAAGAACCUUACCAUCCCUUGACAUCCAGUGAACUUUCUAGAGAUAGAUUGGUGCCUUCGGGAACACUGAGACAGGUGCUGCAUGGCUGUCGUCAGCUCGUGUUGUGAGAUGUUGGGUUAAGUCCCGCAACGAGCGCAACCCUUAUCCUUAGUUGCCAGCGAUUCGGUCGGGAACUCUGGGGAGACUGCCGGUGAUAAACCGGAGGAAGGUGGGGACGACGUCAAGUCAUCAUGGCCCUUACGGGAUGGGCUACACACGUGCUACAAUGGCGCGUACAAAGGGCAGCGAACCUGCGAGGGUAAGCGAAUCUCAUAAAGCGCGUCGUAGUCCGGAUUGGAGUCUGCAACUCGACUCCAUGAAGUCGGAAUCGCUAGUAAUCGUGGAUCAGAAUGCCACGGUGAAUACGUUCCCGGGCCUUGUACACACCGCCCGUCACACCAUGGGAGUGGGCUGCACCAGAAGUGGUUAGUUUAACCUUCGGGAGAACGAUCACCACGGUGUGGUUCAUGACUGGGGUGAAGUCGUAACAAGGUAGCCGUAGGGGAACCUGCGGCUG
Molecule: ribosomal RNA, 661 nt
Filed under: Marinobacter sp. T13-3
Lineage: Bacteria; Pseudomonadati; Pseudomonadota; Gammaproteobacteria; Pseudomonadales; Marinobacteraceae
Description: bacterial SSU rRNA
Rfam family: Bacterial small subunit ribosomal RNA
Source: RNAcentral